Molecule: ribosomal RNA, 441 nt
Filed under: uncultured Bacillota bacterium
Lineage: Bacteria; Bacillati; Bacillota
Description: bacterial SSU rRNA
Rfam family: Bacterial small subunit ribosomal RNA
Source: RNAcentral
GGGCCCGCACAAGCAGUGGAGUAUGUGGUUUAAUUCGAAGCAACGCGAAAACCUUACCAGGACUUGACAUCCCUAGAAUCUUUAAGAAAUUAGAGAGUGCCUUCGGGAACUAGGUGACAGAUGGUGCAUGGUUGUCGUCAGCUCGUGUCGUGAGAUGUUGGGUUAAGUCCCGCAACGAGCGCAACCCUUGUUGCUAGUUGCUAACAUUAAGUUGAGCACUCUAGCGAGACUGCCGUUGACAAAACGGAGGAAGGUGGGGACGACGUCAAAUCAUCAUGCCUCUUACGUCCUGGGCAACACACGUACUACAAUGGCAAGUAACAACGAGUCGCAAGACCGCGAGGUGGAGCUAAUCUCUAAAAACUUGUCUCAGUUCGGAUUGUAGGCUGAAACCCGCCUGCAUGAAGCUGGAAUUGCUAGUAAUCGCGAAUCAGCAUGUCG